Molecule: long non-coding RNA, 1107 nt
Organism: Amphiprion ocellaris (clown anemonefish)
Lineage: Eukaryota; Metazoa; Chordata; Actinopteri; Pomacentridae
Exons: 3
Source: RefSeq, a predicted model, not a curated record
UGACACGGUCUCCGCGCACAGAAAAUCUGCGCUGCGCACAAAAAAAAUAAUCCAACCUAAACUGUAAAUAAAAUAAACACGUAACAAUUCAUUCUGUGCUAUUUUUCAAUGUGAGUCAGUGAGUGACCGGUGACUGGCUGCUGCAGCCAAUAAUGCGAUUCACAUACGUAUUUACCAUAGACUGUAUAUAAUGGUAUUUAUUCCAGCUAAUCGUCAGGCGUCCUUAUGUAUAGCCACCGUUGUUGUCAUAGAUAUGAAUGAGUAGAUAGGACACGCCCCUUUGAGCUGCGUGCUACAGCGAGGCUAAGCUAGUGGGAGAAAAGUUUCAGUGCAUUCCGUAGAUGUAGACGGCGUGAAAACGGAAACAACAAGUAUGUCGGCUCACUGUGCUGGAUACAGUUACACACUACGUCGUACGAUUGAGACAAGGAAACUUGGAAUGACUUUUCAUAGGUUUCCCAGAGACUAUGGGUUGAGGAGGAAUUGGAAGUUUGUCGGCUUAGACCUGGUGUCAUUCCAUCAGUGUUAAACUUCCCGGCUCAUCUUGGAAGAGUACGUGCCAGAAAGACCACGACCAAGCAGCCUUGAGAUCUUAGACAGCGUCUCCCUGAGGUCCCUCUCUAUCUCCCCACACAUCCACCAACCACUGGAACACAUCUCCAAAGUUCUGCUGGACCAGCUCAGCUUCCCCUCAGAAGAAGUGCUGCCACCUGCCAGAUGAAGGAGCCUUUUGAGAGGCAGCUGGCAUCAUGAUUGGACUGUACUUUGGUCUGUUCCAAUCCAGCUUCAGCUCCAGAGACGGCAGGCGGGACGAGUCAACGGAGGCCUGGUGGACGAAGGCAUGAAGCUGAGUACAAUCCAGAAAACAACAGAGGAGGAGUGCAGGGCCAGAACAAACAGAGUAGCAUCGUAUGUCUCUUAGAAAACAUCAUAGUAUAGCCUUUGGGAUGAAAAAACACCAUCAUAUACAUCGUAUAUUGUACAUAUAACAAGUCAAAGGAAAGAGACAUACAUUGUAGAAUUGUAGUAAUUGUGGGCUGACUGAUUUACUGAUUAUCAGUAUUUUAUUUUUUACUGAUUUAUGGUAAUAAAUACAUUUAAAAAUGG